UCAAACUCUAUAUCCAGCGGAAAACAUACACCUCACCUAACCCAGAUUGCAGCCCAGAAGAGGUUUAAAACUAUAGAAAAAUCACUCAACUACACUUGUGAUGCUGCUAGAGUAAUAAAUUCCAGAUAAGAUUUAAAGAGCUUAAGAAAGUCUUCAUUUAUGUAUUAUUAUUUUAUUAACUAAUAAUAUCAUAACAUUUCUUCAAGGCCUGCUUUUUCCACACAGAGCAGUGUGUUUAAGAUAGAAUUAAUCAGCCUCCCAUCAGUCAAGGACAUGCAAGUUGCCAGUCAGAUUGAAAUUAUGGAUGGAGUGGCCAAAACCAUGGAGUUUUUUCAAGUGCAAUAUUUGUGAGGGGUGAGCACCAUGUAGAUGUAGAUGCAACAUGAAAUGUAAGAUCCUGUCCUCCCUGAAAUCAGAAUAUAUAAAAAGCAUGUUUGGCUAUGCUUAUAAAUUGCUAUUAUCCUACAAGGUGCUUAUAGCACCUUAUAACCUUAGACAAGCAUGCUAUCUGCAGGGAGUUUCUUUCCCAUUUAUUAAGUUUAAUGAUGAAUAAGUAUCUGUUUGUUGGUCAUCUGAACAUUUUUCGAAUUUUCAAUCUCUCAAAUUCUCACUCAAAGUAUCCUCCCUGUAAAGCUUAUGAUAUUUAUACCAUACACUUUCAAAUUAAUUUCAAAGGGAAAUCCAUUGCAUCUGUCAAUUAAAAUGAGUAACGUACUGAGAUACUCAGUUUACACUCCAAUCGUCAAGUCAGAAAACGGCCUACAUGGAAGAUUGCAUCAGGUCCAUGCCCAAAAUCAAAAUGUUUGUUUCUCAUGCCAUGGACAUAAUUCCGGGAUGCAUUAUCACAUUCUAACAUCUUGAGGGAGAAUGAGGAGUCUAACAGGCAUAUAAUAUAUUAUCAUUAUAGGAAAGCUGACCCUAAUAUCAAAACUCAUCCCUAGGGAACCAACUUGGAGACAUGCCCCGGCCAUUUAUUCACAGUGACAGCUGAAAGGUACCAAUACUCGCGUGCCUUUUUUUUUUUUUUUUUCAAAUCUUUCGCAAUUCUUAAGUCAUAUCAGUCAUCUGUGCUAUAAAAAAAUUGACAUAGAAACUUAUCUUUAAACCACAUACAUUAUUCAGUAGAUCGAAAAGCUCCAACUUCUAUACGCAACCAACUCUUCAAUUCCAUUCAACUUGAUCAUUGUGCUAUGUCAAAUUUUUUCCCUUGGUGAUUACUUUAGAUUCAAGAGUAAUAAAAGAAA
This 1244-nucleotide long non-coding RNA is filed under the name Olea europaea (common olive). Its description in RNAcentral is "long non-coding RNA (OEUR_LNC003047)". Lineage: Eukaryota; Viridiplantae; Streptophyta; Magnoliopsida; Lamiales; Oleaceae. The record is from RNAcentral.